Molecule: small nucleolar RNA, 157 nt
Organism: Anoplopoma fimbria (sablefish)
Lineage: Eukaryota; Metazoa; Chordata; Actinopteri; Perciformes; Anoplopomatidae
Product: small nucleolar RNA U109
Exons: 1
Source: RefSeq, a predicted model, not a curated record
CUGCAUGUUUUUGGCCCCGAGCCAUGGUUGGCCACUCCAUCAUUGUAGAGAGUGGACAAGUACAAACAUGCUAGAAUAACAUUGAAACAUUUGGAGUUAACAGGGCCACCAGUCUUUCAAGGUCAGGCUGAGUUGGUAGUAUAAUACUCCGACACUC